RNAcentral lists this ribosomal RNA (515 nucleotides) under uncultured bacterium. RNAcentral's name for it is "partial 16S ribosomal RNA". It matches the Rfam family "Bacterial small subunit ribosomal RNA", at positions 28 to 523 of the family's 1533-position model. The record is from RNAcentral.
GAUGAACGCUGGCGGCGUGCCUAAUACAUGCAAGUCGAGCGAAUGGAUUAAGAGCUUGCUCUUAUGAAGUUAGCGGCGGACGGGUGAGUAACACGUGGGUAACCUGCCCAUAAGACUGGGAUAACUCCGGGAAACCGGGGCUAAUACCGGAUAACAUUUUGAACCGCAUGGUUCGAAAUUGAAAGGCGGCUUCGGCUGUCACUUAUGGAUGGACCCGCGUCGCAUUAGCUAGUUGGUGAGGUAACGGCUCACCAAGGCAACGAUGCGUAGCCGACCUGAGAGGGUGAUCGGCCACACUGGGACUGAGACACGGCCCAGACUCCUACGGGAGGCAGCAGUAGGGAAUCUUCCGCAAUGGACGAAAGUCUGACGGAGCAACGCCGCGUGAGUGAUGAAGGCUUUCGGGUCGUAAAACUCUGUUGUUAGGGAAGAACAAGUGCCAGUUGAAUAAGCUGGCACCUUGACGGUACCUAGCCAGAAAGCCACGGCUAACUACGUGCCAGCCGCCGCUGUAA